Molecule: ribosomal RNA, 305 nt
Filed under: uncultured bacterium
Lineage: Bacteria
Description: bacterial SSU rRNA
Rfam family: Bacterial small subunit ribosomal RNA
Source: RNAcentral
CCUACGGGGCGCAGCAGUGGGGAAUAUUGCGCAAUGGGCGAAAGCCUGACGCAGCGACGCCGCGUGAGGGAUGAAGGUCUUCGGAUCGUAAACCUCUGUCAGGAGGGAAGAAGUGGUUAUAUGCGAAUAGUGUAUGACUUUGACGGUACCUCCAAAGGAAGCACCGGCUAACUCCGUGCCAGCAGCCGCGGUAAUACGGAGGGUGCGAGCGUUAAUCGGAAUCACUGGGCGUAAAGCGCGCGUAGGCGGCUUUUCAAGUCAGGGGUGAAAUCCCACGGCCCAACCGUGGAACUGCCUUUGAAACU